GCAGCAGCCGCGGUAAUACGGAGGGUGCAAGCGUUACUCGGAAUUACUGGGCGUAAAGCGUGCGUAGGUGGUGGUUUAAGUCCGUUGUGAAAGCCCUGGGCUCAACCUGGGAAUUGCAGUGGAUACUGGGUCACUAGAGUGUGGUAGAGGAUAGUGGAAUUUCCGGUGUAGCAGUGAAAUGCGUAGAGAUCGGAAGGAACAUCUGUGGCGAAGGCGACUAUCUGGGCCAACACUGACACUGAGGCACGAAAGCGUGGGGAGCAAACAGGAUUAGAUACCCCUGUAGUCCCUGUCUCUUAUAC
RNAcentral lists this ribosomal RNA (302 nucleotides) under uncultured bacterium. Its description in RNAcentral is "partial 16S ribosomal RNA". It matches the Rfam family "Bacterial small subunit ribosomal RNA", at positions 508 to 807 of the family's 1533-position model. The record is from RNAcentral.